GAUGAUGGUCAUUAAGUUCAAGAUGGGGAGGGGUUGGGGUGAGGGCUGGCCUGUCUGAGGAGGGGCAUUUGCAGUGCUGGAGCAAGCCAUGGAGGACAGGAAUUGCUCCAGUCAGAGGAACAGCAAGGACAAGGGGCCCAAGACGGCAUGUACUAGAGGCUCCACGCAUAGAAAAAGCCAGCCAUCCCCAGCGCUGUAACUGAGUGGCCAGUGGUGGGAGGUACUGUGUCACGCAAGGUGCUGAGUGCUUUACCUGUGGUGUCUUAUUUGACCUUCACAAGCACCCUGAGAGGAAGUUAAGGAUAUUAUCCUUUUCAGCACUGGAAUUUCAACAGCAGAGCAUUCAAGCAAGCAUGGGUCCAUCUAAGUAUGACUGUGCAGGUUGAAUGCCUAUGAAGUAAACUCUGUCCCCAUUUUAAGAUGAAGAAACUGAGGCUCAAGGAGGUUAAGUAAUGUCCCUGGGGGUCAUGCAACUAGGAAACAGCAAAGUUGAGAUCUGUGUUCUUUAUUACAGUCUUUGUAAUAGUUAAUUUUAUGCAUCAACUUGACUGGAUCACAGUGUGCCCAGAUAUUUGAUCAAACAUUAUUCUGAGUGUUUCCGUGACAAUGUUUUUGGAUACAAUCAACAUUUAUUUAAUUGGUUGAAGACCUGAAUAGAACAAAGAGUUCAAUUCUCUCAAGUAAGAGAAUUCCUCCUGUCUGACUACUUCAGAAUUGGGACAUUGGCUUUUUCCUGCCUCUACACUACAACUACACCAUCAAGCCUUCAGACAUGGAAAGGAACCACACUAUUGGCUCUCCUCGGUCUUCAGCUUGCCAACUCAAUGCAGAUCUUUGCAUUUGUCAGCCUUAUAACCAUGUGAGCUAAUUCCCUAAAAUAAAUGUCCUCAUUUAAAUGUAUUUCCUAUUGCUGUUUCUCUAGAGAACUCUAAUACAACCCCAUACAAAAGUACACCACACUAGAAGAAUUGGG
Molecule: long non-coding RNA, 973 nt
Filed under: Homo sapiens (human)
Lineage: Eukaryota; Metazoa; Chordata; Mammalia; Primates; Hominidae
Description: HSALNT0360427
Source: RNAcentral